AUACGGAGGAUGCCAGCGUUAUCCGGAUUUAUUGGGUUUAAAGGGAGCGUAGGCGGGAGCUUAAGUCAGCGGUUAAAUGGUGCGGCUCAACCGUGCCCUGCCGUUGAAACUGGGUUUCUUGAGAGUGCAAGAGGCGGAUGGAAUUCAUGGUGUAGCGGUGAAAUGCUUAGAUAUCAUGAAGAACUCCGAUUGCGAAGGCAGUCCGCUGGGGCACGUCUGACGCUGAUGCUCGAAGGUGCGGGAAUCAAACAGGAUUAGAUACCCUGGUAGUCCGCACGGUAAACGAUGAUUACCCGCUGUCGGCGGCAGACAGUCGGCGGCCAAGCGAAAGCGAUAAGUAAUCCACCUGGGGAGUACGCCGGCAACGGUGAA
Molecule: ribosomal RNA, 372 nt
Filed under: uncultured bacterium
Lineage: Bacteria
Description: partial 16S ribosomal RNA
Rfam family: Bacterial small subunit ribosomal RNA
Source: RNAcentral